RNAcentral lists this long non-coding RNA (212 nucleotides) under Manihot esculenta (cassava). RNAcentral describes it as "long non-coding RNA (MESC_LNC004887)". The record is from RNAcentral. Lineage: Eukaryota; Viridiplantae; Streptophyta; Magnoliopsida; Malpighiales; Euphorbiaceae.
UCCGAUAAAGCCUAUUAAAUAGAACAUGUAUUAAUCCCUUUGUCACACGAUAUCUAGUUUGAACAUAAGUCAUGGUCAAUGUCAAACUUAUAAUGUUCAAACUUAUGAUUUCUCGAUCUCUAAGUAGACUGAUAAAUUCAAAUGAUAUUGAUUACACUAUCAAUUCAUUUGAGCACGGCCAUGCAUUUCUCAGUCUCACUUAUCGAGGGGCC